RNAcentral lists this long non-coding RNA (1118 nucleotides) under Calidris pugnax (ruff). RNAcentral describes it as "lncRNA (ENSCPUG00000014691.1)". The record is from RNAcentral. Lineage: Eukaryota; Metazoa; Chordata; Aves; Charadriiformes; Scolopacidae.
AUGGGUGAUGGGUGUGGAGCUGUGGUGAUGGGUACAGAACCAUGUCCAUGGGUGAUGGGUGUGGAGCCAUGGCCAUGGGUGGUGGGUGUGGAGCCAUGGCCAUGGGUGGUGGGUGAUGGGCCUCGGUGGUGGGCAAUGGGUGCUGAGCCUUGGAGAUGGGUGCUUGCCUUUGGGGACAUGGCCCUGGGCACUGGGUGCUGGGCACUGGGUAAUGGUCCUGCUACCGGGUGCUGGGCACUGGUACCAGGCACAGGGCACUGGGUGCUGGUGCUGGGUACUGGUCGCUGGUACUGGGCGGUAGUACUGGGAGUCAGUGCUGGGCACUGGUACUGGUUGUUGGGUGCUGGUACUGGGUGCUGGGCACUGGGUGCUGGUGCUGGGCACUGGACACCGGUACUGGGUACUGGGCAGUGCUACUGGGCACUGGUACUGGGUACAGUGUGCUGGAUGCUGGGCACUGGUACUGGUUGCUGGGUGCUGGUACUGGGCACUGGUACUGGGUGUUGUUGGUGGGCACUGGUACUGGGUACAGCAUGCUGGGUGCUGGUACUGGGCACUGGGCACUGAUACUGGUUACUGGUGCUGGUCACUGGUGCUGGGCACUGGUACUGGUCGCUGGGCAGUGAUACUGGGCACUGGUACUGGUCACUGGUGCUGGGCACUGGUACUGGGUGCUGGGCACUGGUACUGGUCACUGGGCAGUGAUACUGGUUACUGGUGCUGGGCACUGGGCACUGAUACUGGUUACUGGUGCUGGGCACUGGUACUGGGUACUGGGCAGUGAUACUGGGUACUGGUGCUGGGCACUGGUACUGGGUACUGGGCAGUGAUACUGGGCACUGGGCACUGGUACUGGGCAGUGGGCACUGGUACUGGUCACUGGUGCUGGUCACUGGGCAGUGCUACUGGGCACUGGUGCUGUGCACUGGGCACUGAUACUGGUUACUGGUGCUGGGUACUGGGCAGUGGUACUGGGCACUGGGCACUGGUACUGGGCACUGGGCAGUGAUACUGGUGACUGGUACUGGUCACUGGUACUGGGUACAGUGUGCUGGAUGCUGGGCACUGGUACUGGUUGCUGGGUGCUGGUACUGGGCACUGGUACUGGGUGUUGGUGG